Molecule: long non-coding RNA, 249 nt
Filed under: Elaeis guineensis (African oil palm)
Lineage: Eukaryota; Viridiplantae; Streptophyta; Magnoliopsida; Arecales; Arecaceae
Description: long non-coding RNA (EGUI_LNC067328)
Source: RNAcentral
UGUAGAAGGAGUCCUCUACACCUACUAGGUCUCACACCCAAAAAUUAAUGCCACCCCCUCCUUAAUUGCAUUGAGAGGUGGAAGAGUCCUUCUUCAUGAAGACUCUUAUCCAACUCCUCGAUUUCCUUCAGAUCUUAAUUAUUACAUGCCAAAUUAAUGUGAUGGAUUUAUGGGGCAUAGAAGAGGAGUUCUUCUGUGUGAAGACUUUUUUUCAUCAAAUAAUGACAUGGAGAAUUUAUUCUCUGCAUG